Long non-coding RNA from Alosa sapidissima (American shad), 265 nucleotides. RefSeq lists it as uncharacterized. The record is from RefSeq and is a predicted model, not a curated record. The transcript has 2 exons. Lineage: Eukaryota; Metazoa; Chordata; Actinopteri; Clupeiformes; Clupeidae.
UUGAUAUGCGCAUGCGCACACAGCAAUACCCAUCCCCCACCCUUGACUGACUUUUGAACACCAACCACGGUGACUUCAACCGUCACUUUUCUGUCCUGUCAUGCAUCUGACUUUGUAAGCUGUACAAACUCUGCUGUCAUCAUAUCCAAGGUGGUGAUUUGUGCGGACUGCUGCCCUGAGAACACUGAGUGCAUUCUGCCAAAUCAAUGUGUGCCACUCACUGUUUGUGUGGAAAAAAAUAAACUUUAAUAAAAGGUUAAACAAA